UGAGCAUUUACUGAGCGAAACGCUAGCUGC
Molecule: non-coding RNA, 30 nt
Filed under: Rattus norvegicus (Norway rat)
Lineage: Eukaryota; Metazoa; Chordata; Mammalia; Rodentia; Muridae
Source: RNAcentral